RNAcentral lists this long non-coding RNA (621 nucleotides) under Linum usitatissimum (flax). RNAcentral's name for it is "long non-coding RNA (LUSI_LNC003679)". Lineage: Eukaryota; Viridiplantae; Streptophyta; Magnoliopsida; Malpighiales; Linaceae. The record is from RNAcentral.
ACAAAGUCUUUUUGAGAUACCAUAAACAAAACUGAUGGAAGAAUACUACCCCCUAAUGACCCAUCAAUCACUUUCCACAUCAAGCCAUGUUCUUGAAUCCUGAUGCCACAAAGACAGAAGUCUUUAUUGUUAUUCUCAGCUUUCCCUGAUCUUGGUGAAUGUUUGAUCAUCUGUCUCUCUGCUUCUUCUUCCUUAUCUUUGCUGUCCUAUAAUCAUCCUAAACUAACCUCAUUAAAGCCACUUCUCUCCUCCAUUCAAUGUGCUCCAUCUCCUCCUGCAAAGUAGGUGUACAGAGAGAAGAAUGAAAGGAGUGAUCAAUUUUAUAAACUAAAACCCACAAGCAAUACCCACACUGUUUACCUUUUUAGCUUGAUUGCUGCUAUGGUGUUACAGCCUUGCAUUUUCUACGGUGGCUCAGAAAACGCAUUUAUAGCAGAGAAAGACACAUUGCAGGGAAAAUGGUAGUGUAAUUUCCAGAGUACCAGUCUGGCCUUCAUCAUUGCAUUUCACCUACAAAUCUUCACUCUUUUCUUUCCUCUCUGAGCAAAUUCUCCCCCACCAUUUCUGAGUCUUAAGAUUCUGUCCUUUUUUGGCUGGGUUUGCUUCUUUGGGGAAUCUCGU